GCCGGGGUGGUGGAAUUGGUAGACACGCUAGAUUCAGGUUCUAGUGUUCGCAAGGACAUGGGAGUUCGAGUCUCCCCUUCGGCA
Molecule: transfer RNA, 84 nt
Filed under: Desulfovibrio litoralis DSM 11393
Lineage: Bacteria; Pseudomonadati; Thermodesulfobacteriota; Desulfovibrionia; Desulfovibrionales; Desulfovibrionaceae
Rfam family: tRNA
About the family: Transfer RNA (tRNA) molecules are approximately 80 nucleotides in length. Their secondary structure includes four short double-helical elements and three loops (D, anti-codon, and T loops). Further hydrogen bonds mediate the characteristic L-shaped molecular structure. tRNAs have two regions of fundamental functional importance: the anti-codon, which is responsible for specific mRNA codon recognition, and the 3' end, to which the tRNAs corresponding amino acid is attached (by aminoacyl-tRNA synthetases). tRNAs cope with the degeneracy of the genetic code in two manners: having more than one tRNA (with a specific anti-codon) for a particular amino acid; and 'wobble' base-pairing, i.e. permitting non-standard base-pairing at the 3rd anti-codon position.
Source: Rfam by way of RNAcentral